Ricinus communis (castor bean) is the source of this 1635-nucleotide long non-coding RNA. RefSeq lists it as uncharacterized. NCBI's taxonomy places the organism in Eukaryota, Viridiplantae, Streptophyta, Magnoliopsida, Malpighiales, Euphorbiaceae. The transcript has 2 exons. The record is from RefSeq and is a predicted model, not a curated record.
AAUAUCUCAUCUCUCGAAGGGUCGAGGCCCAGAGGGCGCGGGUACUCUUUCUUUUCUAUCGUCCUUUUCAGGUUUGCCAACUUUGGCAUGGGUUAUCUGCUGCACUGCAUUCUUCUCCUACUUCAAUGAGCGUUGCCACUCUGACAAUUCAUUCAGCCAACAAACACACAUUUUCUCUUUUAUAUCUCUUUUGAAUCAGAUAAUGAAUCAUGAGAAAAGAGGUGUGCUGUAACCGGAGUUAAUGGUUUUGAUGCUCUCAACUUGAAGAGUAAAAGAGGGAGGAUAAAUAUAGGUUGGCACCUAGCUCAUGUGUAAUUCUGGUAGUUUUUGAGAACUAGCAUUUGAAAUCCAGUAUAAUAAACGAUGAAUCAAGUGAUGUUGCAGGCUUUUAGAGAAAAAGAAGUGGCUGAAAAGAUGAUGUUUGCAAUGACUUUGCUAGUGCCAGAGAUCACUUGCUUAAGGAAAAAAAGCUUAAUCCUGCAUUUGAUAACAUUAUUUCUAUGUUAACGCUAUGUGACAUACUAACUGCUGCUAGGAUUGAGAUUCCAGGUGGCAGAAUUGAUCAUUAUUGGGUCCUUCAGGUUAUGCCCUCUCCUACAUUUGCUGAUAUUCAAAGCCAAUACCAUAAAUUCGUUGAUUUGUUGCAGCCUAUCAGGACACAGUUUCCUUGCAAAUUGGCAAUGCAUCUCCUACAGGAUGCAUUUGAAGUCCUUAGAGACCAAAGGAAGGGUGUUGAGUUCGACUUGAAGAGGAUUACAAGCUGGGAGAAAUAUAAAUCUUUUGAUUUGCAACCAUCAAGCUGCCAGAGUAGCCUAAAUAAAGAAAGUGCAAGUUCUUCACAGAGCUCUUCAGCGUAGCUUAACAUGUGAGGGGAGAUGUAAACCUGCCGAAAUGCUUCCAAAAAUUGAUGCAACUUCUGCAACAGAUAAAGUGAAUUUGGAAUACAUGCAUAAACAAAAAGUGGAAGUGAUUGUUGAAGAGCUGAAUUUGUCUAAUCUGAAGUCUGAAUGGAAUAUUCAGGCAGAGGUAAACAAAUAUGCGGACAAUGUAAAUUUGCUGACUGCAUUGCAGCCUACAAGCUUAGAGGAGAAUUUAUAUUCUUCUUUAGAAGCUACAUGGCAGAAAAGACUUCUCCAGGAUUUAUACAACUUUGAGGAUGAUAGGAAAUUUCGGCAUUUCGAGGCAGGGCAAAUUUGGGUCGUUACUCAUAGAGGUAAUCAGCAUCAUAAUUUCCGGUAUGCUCGCAUUGAUUGAACAACAAAAGCAGCAACUUGUGUUACAUGGUUGAAACCAAUCCCUGUUACUUCUAGCGAGAGAAGGUGGUGUGGUGCAGGUUUGCCCGUCGUUUGUGGCUCGUUGAAAGUAAAUUCAGAGAUGCAGAUGAGUAUUGAGGUCAGAUGGCCCUCAAUUGCAUACUACAAAUGCUCUUGGGUUCAUGGUGUAACAGAGAAGCAAUUUGAAGUUUACCCGAAAAGGGUUGAGAUUUGGGCAGUUUACAAGGACUGGAUUCUUGAUGAUUGGUCCUGUAAUCCUGAUUCUGUGAAAAGAUGCAAUUUUUGAGUUAGUUGAAAUCAUCUCAGAUUUUUCAAAAUGUUUAGGUUCUUAUGGAGCAUGUCUGGUAAAGGUUGAUGGUUU